GCUGGACAACUCAGGCCCUACACCUGCCUUCCUAGGGCCUCUAUUCCAGAAGAGGAACUCAGACCAUCAGCAAGAGAAAUUAGACAGGUGGCAGCAUCUUCCAAUUCGUGGGUCAGUGCCGGUGGUUCCUCUUCCCCACCAUAGAGGAGUGUUCCUGCUCAGUCCAUCUUAAAAUGCGUUUAAAAUGGGGGAAACCUAGAAACAAAAUAUACAGAAUUUGAGGAAUGUGAGUAUUGUUAUAUUUUUUGACUUAGGCAUGGAUAAAAAUAUGAGUUCACAUUGUAAAAAUCCACCAUGCUAUGCUUAUGACCUUUGCACUUUUCAUCUGUAGGUUAUACUUCUAUAAGUUCAAAAUGACACACACUUUAAAUGUUGUAUUUUAAUCUAAAUUAUAGUUUGCACUAGUUUUCUCACAUUUUGAUGAUUAGACUCUGUGUCAAAAUUUUUUAAAUUUCUAAAUACAUUAGUACAGACAAAAUGCUCAGAGCCUGAUGUGUAGGAAGCACUUAAUAAAUGUUAGCACUGUUACCUCAUGUGCAUACUCAUGAUGUUUCAUUUACAAUUUCCAGUCCUGCAUUCUCUGCAGUAGAGGAAGAACUGGGAGACACUUUCCUGGCAAUCUGAUGGCAGAAUCCUUCUAGCAUUUUAAUCUAGCCACUGUGCUGUGAGCAGUUCCAGCAUCAUGGAGAGGUGACAUAGAGGAGAACAAAAAUGCACGAGCUGACAGCCCCAUUGUGAUCCCAUUGGCAGCCAGCACCUACUGCUCGCACAUGAGUGCCUCAUUGCGCCAUCUUGGACUUUCCAGGAUAGCUGAACCCCCAGAUGACUACAGUCCCAGAAGACAACAUGUUGAGCAGGAAAACCACCCAACUGAGCCCAGCCAACCCACAAAAUCUUGACAAGUGACAAAAUAACUGAUCUAAGCCAGUAAAUCAUGGGCGGGUUUUUUAUGCAAGUGUAGAUAGCUGAAAAGCCGGAGGGCAGGUCGGAUCCCAGGUGGUGGUUUGAGCUGUAGCUCAGAAGAAAAGGUCUGGCUGGAGAGGCCAUAGGUUUAGGAGACUUCGGCUUCAUAGAAAUGUGAAGUCUCCAUCGUGGAUGAAAUCACCUACACCCCUUUUCACACAUGCCCAGCGCACCUAGAGCACAGCUGACCCACAGCAAAUGUUUGCUGAAUUAAAUUCAACA
This is a long non-coding RNA of Sapajus apella (tufted capuchin), 1185 nucleotides long. RefSeq lists it as uncharacterized. Lineage: Eukaryota; Metazoa; Chordata; Mammalia; Primates; Cebidae. The record is from RefSeq and is a predicted model, not a curated record. The transcript has 3 exons.